GACAGAGGAGCCAAGCGUUGUCCGGACUGACUGGGCGUAAAGCGCACGCAGGCGGCGCUGUGCGUGGGGUGUGAAAGCUCUUGGCUUAACUGAGAGAGGCCAUCCCAUACGGCAGCGCUCGAGCGGUGCAGAGGUCCGCGGAAUUGCCGGUGUAGUGGUGAAAUGCGUAGAGAUCGGCAGGAACACCCAAGGGGAAACCAGCGGACUGGGCAUCGGCUGACGCUCAGGUGCGACAGCGUGGGGAGCGAACCGG
Molecule: ribosomal RNA, 253 nt
Filed under: uncultured bacterium
Lineage: Bacteria
Description: partial 16S ribosomal RNA
Rfam family: Bacterial small subunit ribosomal RNA
Source: RNAcentral